RNAcentral lists this ribosomal RNA (492 nucleotides) under uncultured bacterium. RNAcentral describes it as "partial 16S ribosomal RNA". It matches the Rfam family "Bacterial small subunit ribosomal RNA", at positions 29 to 507 of the family's 1533-position model. The record is from RNAcentral.
AGUGAACGCUGGCGAUAGGCCUAACACAUGCAAGUCGAACGGCAGCACAGUAAGAGCUUGCUCUUACGGGUGGCGAGUGGCGGACGGGUGAGGAAUACAUCGGAAUCUACUUUUUCGUGGGGGGUAACGUAGGGAAACUUACGCUAAUACCGCAUACGACCUACGGGUGAAAGCAGGGGAUCUUCGGACCUUGCGCGAUUGAAUGAGCCGAUGUCGGAUUAGCUAGUUGGCGGGGUAAAGGCCCACCAAGGCGACGAUCCGUAGCUGGUCUGAGAGGAUGAGCAGCCACACUGGAACUGAGACACGGUCCAGACUCCUACGGGAGGCAGCAGUGGGGAAUAUUGGACAAUGGGCGCAAGCCUGAUCCAGCCAUACCGCGUGAGUGAAGAAGGCCUUCUGGUUGUAAAGCCCUUUUGUUGGGAAAGAAAAGCAGCAGGUUAAUACCCCGCUGUUCUGACGGUACCCAAAGAAUAAGCACCGGCUAACUUCGUG